AAUCGUUUUGCGCGACCAUCCCAUAUUGCAAAAGCUUGGUGCACUGGAGAGCAUAUGCAGCGCGACUGAAGCAGACGAACAACUGUGAACCUCAUCUGUGCAUCCGGAACCAGAACUCGGGGAGAGCUCGACCUACAAACUUAUUAGGAUUCAAAACACUUUCCUAAUCAAGAAUUUCUCAGGAAUACAGGCGCAGAUUCUCUUUGGAGCAGAAUUCAGAGAACGUAAGCAGAGACGAGAUUUCUACUCCUACAUCCAUGGGCGGCCUC
Long non-coding RNA from Eucalyptus grandis, 269 nucleotides. RefSeq lists it as uncharacterized. The record is from RefSeq and is a predicted model, not a curated record. The transcript has 3 exons. NCBI's taxonomy places the organism in Eukaryota, Viridiplantae, Streptophyta, Magnoliopsida, Myrtales, Myrtaceae.